RNAcentral lists this ribosomal RNA (343 nucleotides) under uncultured bacterium. RNAcentral's name for it is "bacterial SSU rRNA". It matches the Rfam family "Bacterial small subunit ribosomal RNA", at positions 28 to 373 of the family's 1533-position model. The record is from RNAcentral.
GACGAACGCUGGCGGCGUGCUUAACACAUGCAAGUCGAGCGGUAAGGCCCUUUCGGGGGUACACGAGCGGCGAACGGGUGAGUAACACGUGGGUGACCUGCCCUCAGCUCUGGGAUAAGCCUGGGAAACCGGGUCUAAUACUGGAUAUGACUCCAUGACGCAUGUUGUGGGGUGGAAAGCCUUGUGCGGCUGAGGAUGGGCCCGCGGCCUAUCAGCUUGUUGGUGGGGUGAGGCCUACCAAGGCGACGACGGGUAGCCGGCCUGAGAGGGCGACCGGCCACACUGGGACUGAGACACGGCCCAGACUCCUACGGGAGGCAGCAGUGGGGAAUCUUGCGCGAAU